CCCGUUUGUCUCCUCCAGCGGCAGGAUGGGAGCCACCGUUCCUCCAGAACCAUGAACAGCCAGGUGCAGUAAUUCACACCUGCAGUUCCUGUGCUCUGCUAGUGAGAUGGGAGGUGGAGACAGACGAAUUCCUGGAUGACUGCGGGACAGAUAGCUGCAGUGCACAGCAGUGAUCAGCUUCAAAUUGGAUAGAAGUGAUUCGUGGGCAAUGGAACUUUCUAGAAGAUAAACUACCUUCUCAGGCUGUGAAAACAGAAACUCAGAGGCGGUAUCCUUUGUCCUGUCCAGCAACAUUAUGGUGCAUGAGUAUAUGGUGGGUGAAUGGAAGAAAGAGACAGAAACUUUCAUGUGCUGGGGAGCCAAGGGCAGUGAGGAAACCUCGGACAUGGGAGACCUGCUUGCCACCCAGACCAUGGUGAUGUCUGGGCCUGGGCUGCUGCCAAGGACCAAGUCUAAGUCUGUGGCCCUGACACAACUGUUACCAUUGAAGGCCCUGUGGACACCCAGAGGCUGGGUGUCCAUGUGGGGGUCGAAGGGAUUUAUCCCUGCAGGGGCAAUGCCAUUCAAAGAGUCCUGCACUACUUCCAAACGUCUAGAUUGCUGCCAGGAGCUAUGUUUGGGUCUAUUGCUCUGCAGCAGCCAGGCUAUGUGUUGUUGUCAGUGACUCUUAUUACCACAGAGGGCCAUGCAGAGGCCUGUAGUUUGGGCCUACACCUGAGGCUAAAUUAGUGUUUUAGGGUCAUAUGACCCUUGGGACCAAACAGAGCUGGGUGGCAAGUGCUAGCACUUAGGACCAUGGUGACAUCCAGACCUAAACUACAGCUGAAAUCCAUGUCUGGAUCCAUGGCCCUACAGUAGCCAGUGUCUACAUUGAUGUCUGUGGCUACUCUUAAGCACUGAAGGCAAAGUGGAGGCACAAGGGGCGGGGUUGACACCUUGGGACAUAUUGGCACCUGAGUGCUAUAGUGCUAUACUGUCACUGGGGCCAUGCCAAUCUGGGUGACCUGUGAUGCCAGCUAGGGUCAUGAUGACAUUAGAGCCCAAGCUGUUCCCAGGGACCAUAAACACUUGGGUGAAAUGCACUGCCAACCAGGACCAGGGGGUCUUAUGGGUAGAAGAGUGGCUGGUGCCAUGUCUGGUUCUGUGGCCCAGCUGCAGGCAUGGUCUGUGUUAAUGUUCGUGGCUCCUAUUGCCAAUGAGGGCAGAGUGCAUGCCUAGGAUCUCAGCUGCCAUCUGAGGCCAUAUUGGUGUUCCAGGGCCAGGCAGCCCAAUCUGAGUGAGCUGUACUACCACCUGGGUCCAUGCUGACAUCCUGGCUUGGCUGCUCACAAAGACGAUGUCUGGGGUCCCAUGACCAACCACAGUCAGGGUCUGUGUUGACAUCCAUGGCUCAUGUUGCCACCCAGAUCCUGGGCUGCCACCUAGGCUCAUGUUAGUGUGUGAAGGCCAUGCCUCUGCCAGGGCCAUACAGAUCUGAAUGGCAUGCACUACCACCCAGGGCCAUGGUGUCAUCUUGGUCUGGGCUGCUGACAAGGGCCACAUCUGGGUCCUUGGCCCUGCCAUAGCCUUGGUCUGUGUUAAUGUCUGUGAUUCCUCUUGCCAUGGAAGACAGUAAUGAUAGGGCUGCACAGAGUUGGUUCCACCCCUCACUGGCUGCAGCAAUAGUGAGAACUGUACCUGUGCACCAAUUGUAGCACUCUGGAGAACAGGCUCCGCACCUCUGCUGAGCAGUGCAGUGGAGCUGACCCCAUUGAUGGAGGGUAAGGUUGUAAGCUGGUCCUGAAGGCAUGAGAGUGGGAGAGCUGGCUGCACUAUCUGUCUCUUACCAUGACAUGGGUGAGGGAGAGAUACCUCCUCACCCCUUGACACCUCCUGCAGGUGGAAAUGAUAGUCCUGGUGAGAGUGGGAGAGCUGCCCCUGUCCUUCACUGGCUGCAGCACUCAGGAGAACAAUUCUGCACCUCAGCUGGGCAGCACAAUAGAGCUGGCCCUGCUUACAGGGGCUGAGAUGAACUUACCCUAAGGGCUGGAGAGCAGAAGAGCUGACCCAACUCUACUUGUCUGCCAUGUGGUGAUAUGGGUGAGAGAGAAAAAUGACCCCCAUCCCUUGCCCUCUAUGGCCUUGAUAGCAUGACAUGAGUUUGGGAGAGCUGGCCUUGUACCUCACCAACUUCAGCACUAGGGAGAGGGAACCCUGUACCUUGCUUAGAAAACAGUAGAGUUGGCCCUGGAGGUGUGGGUGCAGGUGAGCCCAUCCCAAGGGUGUCAGAGCAGGCUCCAUACCUUGCUAGCUGGGGCAAUGCUGGAGAGCUCUCUCUAUUGGUAAUGAUGAGAGAAAGCUGGAAGCCGACCAACUGAACUAUCAGCCAGGACCAGAGCCAGGGCUAUGAGUUGUCCCACCCCAACAUCCACCUCAUCUAUGAACUGCUGAAGCAUGUGCAGGGCCUGACCUGAAGACACAAAGCUGCAGGAUGUCCUUGACACAAGGCAACAACAGGAUGUCCAAUAGGAGUCCCAGUGAAGGUCCAGUAUUGAGGACAUAGCAGAAGCCAGAGGCUUUGAACCAGACCAAUGACUCAUCCCAAUGAACACUUACAAGUAAAGAUGUAUGGAUCAAAGUAUACUACUAUGUGACUCACUCUGUCACACUUCAGCUUCCAUGCUGUUUUAUUCUCUAUGUUUGUUUGGUUGUUAUUGUUUUUUUCUGCUUUUUGUUUUUCUAUUGAAUUUUGUUUUAUUUGGGAUGGAGGUUGCAAGGGUGGAGGGUGAAUAUGAAGUGACAGAGAGAUGGAUGUGAUAGGGAUGCAUGAUGUGAAACCCACAAAGAAUCAAUAAAGAAAAGCAGUGAUGCAUUUGUUCA
Cricetulus griseus (Chinese hamster) is the source of this 2859-nucleotide non-coding RNA. Lineage: Eukaryota; Metazoa; Chordata; Mammalia; Rodentia; Cricetidae. The record is from RefSeq and is a predicted model, not a curated record.